UUUGAUAGCUCCUUCCUACUUGGAUAACCGUGGUAAUUCUAGAGCUAAUACAUGCUAAAAAUCCCGACUUCGGAAGGGAUGUAUUUAUUAGAUUAAAAACCAAUGCCCCCUGGGCUCCCUGGUGAAUCAUGAUAACUGCUCGAAUCGCAUGGCCUUGCGCUGGCGAUGGCUCAUUCAAAUUUCUUCCCUAUCAACUUUCGAUGUUUGGGUAGUGGCCAAACAUGGUUGCAACGGGUAACGGAGGGUUAGGGCUCGACCCCGGAGAAGGAGCCUGAGAAACGGCUACUACAUCCAAGGAAGGCAGCAGGCGCGCAAAUUACCCAAUCCCGACACGGGGAGGUAGUGACAAUAAAUACUGAUACAGGGCUCUUUUGGGUCUUGUAAUUGGAAUGAGUACAAUUUAAAUCCCUUAACGAGGAACAAUUGGAGGGCAAGUCUGGUGCCAGCAGCCGCGGUAAUUCCAGCUCCAAUAGCGUAUAUUAAAGUUGUUGUGGUUAAAAAGCUCGUAGUUAAACANNNNNNNNNNGCGUAUAUUAAGUUGUUGUGGUUAAAAAGCUCGUAGUUGAACCUUGGGCCUGGCUGGCCGGUCCGCCUCACCGCGUGCACUGGUCCGGCCGGGCCUUUCCCUCCGCGGAACCCCAUGCCCUUCACUGGGCGUGGCGGGGAAACGGGACUUUUACUUUGAAAAAAUUAGAGUGCUCCAGGCAGGCCUAUGCUCGAAUACAUUAGCAUGGAAUAAUGGAAUAGGACGCGCGGUUCUAUUUUGUUGGUUUCUAGGACCGCCGUAAUGAUUGAUAGGGACAGUCGGGGGCGUCAGUAUUCAACCGUCAGAGGUGAAAUUCUUGGACCGGUUGAAGACUAACUACUGCGAAAGCAUUCGCCAAGGAUGUUUUCAUUAAUCAGGAACGAAAGCUAGGGGAUCGAAGACGAUCAGAUACCGUCGUAGUCUUAGCCAUAAACUAUGCCGACUAGGGAUCGGGCGAUGUUAUUCUUUGACUCGCUCGGCACCUUCCGAGAAAUCAAAGUGCUUGGGCUCCAGGGAGAGCGAAGG
This 1051-nucleotide ribosomal RNA is filed under the name uncultured Ophiocordyceps. RNAcentral describes it as "SSU rRNA". It matches the Rfam family "Eukaryotic small subunit ribosomal RNA", at positions 120 to 1129 of the family's 1831-position model. Lineage: Eukaryota; Fungi; Ascomycota; Sordariomycetes; Hypocreales; Ophiocordycipitaceae. The record is from RNAcentral.